UUGAACGCUGGCGGCAUGCCUUACACAUGCAAGUCGAACGGCAGCACGGGAGCUAAUCCUGGUGGCGAGUGGCGAACGGGUGAGUAAUAUAUCGGAACGUGCCCAGUCGUGGGGGAUAACGUAGCGAAAGCUACGCUAAUACCGCAUACGAUCUACGGAUGAAAGCGGGGGAUCGCAAGACCUCGCGCGAUUGGAGCGGCCGAUAUCAGAUUAGGUAGUUGGUGAGGUAAAGGCUCACCAAGCCGACGAUCUGUAGCUGGUCUGAGAGACGACCAGCCACACUGGGACUGAGACACGGCCCAGACUCCUACGGGAGGCAGCAGUGGGAAUUUUGGACAAUGGGCGCAAGCCUGAUCCAGCAAUGCCGCGUGCAGGAUGAAGGCCUUCGGGUUGUAAACUGCUUUUGUACGGAACGAAACGGUGAGCUCUAAUACAGUUUGCUAAUGACGGUACCGUAAGAAUAAGCACCGGCUAACUACGUG
This 482-nucleotide ribosomal RNA is filed under the name uncultured bacterium. RNAcentral describes it as "bacterial SSU rRNA". It matches the Rfam family "Bacterial small subunit ribosomal RNA", at positions 30 to 507 of the family's 1533-position model. The record is from RNAcentral.